AGUGAACGCUGGCGGUAGGCCUAACACAUGCAAGUCGAACGGCAGCACAGUAAGAGCUUGCUCUUACGGGUGGCGAGUGGCGGACGGGUGAGGAAUACAUCGGAAUCUACUUUUUCGUGGGGGAUAACGUAGGGAAACUUACUCUAAUACCGCAUACGACCUACGGGUGAAAGCAGGGGAUCUUCGGACCUGGCGCGAUUGAAUGAGCCGAUGUCGGAUUAGCUAGUUGGGGGGGUAAAGGCCCACCAAGGGGACGAUCCGUAGCUGGUGUGAGAGGCUGGUAGGCGACACUGGAACUGGACCACGGUCCAGGGUCCUGCGGGAGGGCGCAGUGGGGAAUGUUGGGCAAUGGGGGGAAACCUUGCCCAGCCGUAGGGAGUGGGAGAAGACGGCCUUGGGUUCGUAAAGACGUUUUGUUGGGAAAAAAACGCUGCAGGUUAAUACCAAGCUGUAGUGACGGUACCCAAAGAAUAAGCACCGGCUAACUACGUG
Molecule: ribosomal RNA, 492 nt
Filed under: uncultured bacterium
Lineage: Bacteria
Description: partial 16S ribosomal RNA
Rfam family: Bacterial small subunit ribosomal RNA
Source: RNAcentral